GGCCUACGGGAGGCAGCAGUGGGGAAUCUUGGACAAUGGGGGCAACCCUGAUCCAGCCAUGCCGCGUGUGUGAAGAAGGCCUUCGGGUUGUAAAGCACUUUCAGUAGGGAGGAAGGCUUAUCCUUAAUACGGAUGAGUACUUGACGUUACCUACAGAAGAAGCACCGGCUAAUUUCGUGCCAGCAGCCGCGGUAAU
RNAcentral lists this ribosomal RNA (196 nucleotides) under uncultured Alcanivorax sp. Its description in RNAcentral is "partial 16S ribosomal RNA". It matches the Rfam family "Bacterial small subunit ribosomal RNA", at positions 335 to 524 of the family's 1533-position model. Lineage: Bacteria; Pseudomonadati; Pseudomonadota; Gammaproteobacteria; Oceanospirillales; Alcanivoracaceae. The record is from RNAcentral.